Long non-coding RNA from Urocitellus parryii (Arctic ground squirrel), 705 nucleotides. RefSeq lists it as uncharacterized. The record is from RefSeq and is a predicted model, not a curated record. Lineage: Eukaryota; Metazoa; Chordata; Mammalia; Rodentia; Sciuridae.
CGGGGUCCAGCCGCCCCGGGCCGCGCGGGCCGCCAGGUCCCAGCCCGGGUCCCCUCGGCGCCCCGGAAGGGCUGGGGAGCCCGCGGCCCUGGGGGCGGAGGCGCGGCCGGGGCACGGUGACCAGGCCGGUGUCCCGCCGCCUCUAAACUUAGCCGCGGUGACGCGCGGCCCGGCCAUCGCGGCGGGGCCGGGGACGCAGGGGGCCCGAGCGGAGGGGGGCGGCGCGGCUCCGCGAGCCUCUAUUUAUAGCGCCCCGCGCCCGAAAUAGCGCGGAGCCGAGCGGCCGGUAUGACGCGGGAGCCGCCAGGGGCUGACUCACCCGGGCCCAAGCGGAGGCCCCCGGAUGGGGACAGUGGAGGCGCCUGGACCCGACCCUGCGCCCUCCUGGACGCCUUUUUUUUGCUGGGACAUCCUAAGUGAAUAGGACGUGGGUGGAUAUGCGGUGAAACCGAAGGACUGCAGCAUGAGACAGUGAAGUUGGCUCAGAGGAAGAAGAAGGUGGCCUCCUCCAGAAGGACAAACAGCAGGGACAAAUAGCAGAGCUAAGAAACAAGAGCGUGAAGAGAAAGUCUACAGAAUGGGAGAAAAUCUUGGCCACCUGCUCCUCCAAUAGGGGAUUCAUAUCCAGAAUCUACGGAGGACCCAAAAAACUUCACACCAAAAACAUAAUAAUAACCCGAUCAAUAAAUUGAAAAAAAAAAAAAA